CUACGGGUGGCUCCAGUGGGGAAUAUUGGACAAUGGGGGAAACCCUGAUCCAGCAAUGCCGCGUGUGUGAAGAAGGCCUGCGGGUUGUAAAGCACUUUCGGUUGGGAGGACUGCUUCUAGCACUAAUAUUGUUGGAAGUUGACGUUACCUUCAGAAGAAGCACCGACUAACUCCGUGCCAGCAGCCGCGGUAAUACGGAGGGUGCAGCGUUAAUCGGAAUUACUGGGCGUAAAGCGCGCGUAGGCGGCUAGAUCAGUCGGGUGUGAAAGCCCCGGGCUUAACCUGGGAACUGCAUCCGAUACUGUCUAGCUUGAGUACAGGAGAGGAGAGUGGAAUUCCACAUGUAGCGGUGAAAUGCGUAGAUAUGUGGAGGAACACCAAUGGCGAAGGCAGCUCUCUGGCCUGAUACUGACGCUGAGGUGCGAAAGCGUGGGGAGCAAACAGGAUUAGAUACCCUAGUAGUC
RNAcentral lists this ribosomal RNA (464 nucleotides) under uncultured bacterium. RNAcentral's name for it is "partial 16S ribosomal RNA". It matches the Rfam family "Bacterial small subunit ribosomal RNA", at positions 339 to 795 of the family's 1533-position model. The record is from RNAcentral.